GCCCAGAUAGCUCAGUUGGUAGAGCAGCGGACUGAAAAUCCGCGUGUCGCUGGUUCGAUUCCGGCUCUGGGCA
RNAcentral lists this transfer RNA (73 nucleotides) under Lachnospiraceae bacterium. RNAcentral describes it as "tRNA-Phe". It matches the Rfam family "tRNA". From Rfam's summary of the family: Transfer RNA (tRNA) molecules are approximately 80 nucleotides in length. Their secondary structure includes four short double-helical elements and three loops (D, anti-codon, and T loops). Further hydrogen bonds mediate the characteristic L-shaped molecular structure. tRNAs have two regions of fundamental functional importance: the anti-codon, which is responsible for specific mRNA codon recognition, and the 3' end, to which the tRNAs corresponding amino acid is attached (by aminoacyl-tRNA synthetases). tRNAs cope with the degeneracy of the genetic code in two manners: having more than one tRNA (with a specific anti-codon) for a particular amino acid; and 'wobble' base-pairing, i.e. permitting non-standard base-pairing at the 3rd anti-codon position. Lineage: Bacteria; Bacillati; Bacillota; Clostridia; Lachnospirales; Lachnospiraceae. RNAcentral also lists the same sequence under 3 other names. The record is from RNAcentral.